Molecule: ribosomal RNA, 408 nt
Filed under: uncultured bacterium
Lineage: Bacteria
Description: partial 16S ribosomal RNA
Rfam family: Bacterial small subunit ribosomal RNA
Source: RNAcentral
GACGAACGCUGGCGGCGUGCUUAACACAUGCAAGUCGAACGAAGUGGCGAACGGGUGAGUAACGCGUAAUCAACCUGCCCUUCAGAGGGGGACAACAGUUGGAAACGACUGCUAAUACCGCAUACUGCAGUCGGGGAUUGCGUCUGAUUAGCUAGUUGGAGGGGUAACGGCCCACAAAGGCGAUGAUCAGUAGCCGGGCUGAGAGGAUGAACGGCCAAAGUGGGACUGAGACACGGCCCAGACUCCUACGGGAGGCAGCAGUGGGGAAUCUUCCGCAAUGGACGAAAGUCUGACGGAGCAACGCCGCGGGAGUGAUGACGGCCUUCGGGUUGUAAAGCUCUGUUAAUCGGGACGCGGUACCGGAAUAGAAAGCCACGGCUAACUACGUGCCAGCCGCAGCGGUAAUAC